UACACACAGAAGUUGUGCCGCAGGGCUGA
RNAcentral lists this non-coding RNA (29 nucleotides) under Mus musculus (house mouse). Lineage: Eukaryota; Metazoa; Chordata; Mammalia; Rodentia; Muridae. The record is from RNAcentral.